Molecule: ribosomal RNA, 918 nt
Filed under: Bacteroides fragilis str. 3986 N(B)22
Lineage: Bacteria; Pseudomonadati; Bacteroidota; Bacteroidia; Bacteroidales; Bacteroidaceae
Description: bacterial SSU rRNA
Rfam family: Bacterial small subunit ribosomal RNA
Source: RNAcentral
AGAGUUUGAUCCUGGCUCAGGAUGAACGCUAGCUACAGGCUUAACACAUGCAAGUCGAGGGGCAUCAGGAAGAAAGCUUGCUUUCUUUGCUGGCGACCGGCGCACGGGUGAGUAACACGUAUCCAACCUGCCCUUUACUCGGGGAUAGCCUUUCGAAAGAAAGAUUAAUACCCGAUGGGAUAAUUAUUCCGCAUGGUUUGAUUAUUAAAGGAUUCCGGUAAAGGAUGGGGAUGCGUUCCAUUAGGUUGUUGGUGAGGUAACGGCCCACCAAGCCUUCGAUGGAUAGGGGUUCUGAGAGGAAGGUCCCCCACAUUGGAACUGAGACACGGUCCAAACUCCUACGGGAGGCAGCAGUGAGGAAUAUUGGUCAAUGGGCGCUAGCCUGAACCAGCCAAGUAGCGUGAAGGAUGAAGGCUCUAUGGGUCGUAAACUUCUUUUAUAUAAGAAUAAAGUGCAGUAUGUAUACUGUUUUGUAUGUAUUAUAUGAAUAAGGAUCGGCUAACUCCGUGCCAGCAGCCGCGGUAAUACGGAGGAUCCGAGCGUUAUCCGGAUUUAUUGGGUUUAAAGGGAGCGUAGGUGGACUGGUAAGUCAGUUGUGAAAGUUUGCGGCUCAACCGUAAAAUUGCAGUUGAUACUGUCAGUCUUGAGUACAGUAGAGGUGGGCGGAAUUCGUGGUGUAGCGGUGAAAUGCUUAGAUAUCACGAAGAACUCCGAUUGCGAAGGCAGCUCACUGGACUGCAACUGACACUGAUGCUCGAAAGUGUGGGUAUCAAACAGGAUUAGAUACCCUGGUAGUCCACACAGUAAACGAUGAAUACUCGCUGUUUGCGAUAUACAGUAAGCGGCCAAGCGAAAGCAUUAAGUAUUCCACCUGGGGAGUACGCCGGCAACGGUGAAACUCAAAGGAAUUGACGGGGG